GCCAGGCAUGGUGGCUCAUGCCUGUAAUCCCAGCACUUUGGGAGGCUGAGGUGGGUGGGUCACCUGAGGUCAGGACCAGCCUGGCCAACAUGGUGAAACCCCAUCUCUA
Pan troglodytes (chimpanzee) is the source of this 109-nucleotide non-coding RNA. It matches the Rfam family "Metazoan signal recognition particle RNA". From Rfam's summary of the family: The signal recognition particle (SRP) is a universally conserved ribonucleoprotein. It is involved in the co-translational targeting of proteins to membranes. The record is from Rfam. NCBI's taxonomy places the organism in Eukaryota, Metazoa, Chordata, Mammalia, Primates, Hominidae.